CCCUUAGAUGUUCUGGGCUGCACGCGCGCUACACUGAUGCGUUCAACGAGUGUACAACCUUGCCCGAUAGGGUUGGGUAACCUUCUGAACACGCAUCGUGAUGGGGAUAGAGUAUUGCAAUUAUUACUCUUCAACGAGGAAUUCCUAGUAAUGAUGGAUCAUCAGUUCAUCGUGAUUACGUCCCUGCCCUUUGUACACACCGCCCGUCGCUCCUACCGAUUGAGCAAUCCGGUGAAUAUUUCGGACCAGAAAUUUUCGGGGCGACCCGUUUAAUUUCCGGAAAGUCAAGUUAACCUUAUUGCUUAGAGGAAGGAGAAGUCGUAACA
This 326-nucleotide ribosomal RNA is filed under the name uncultured eukaryote. RNAcentral's name for it is "partial 18S ribosomal RNA". It matches the Rfam family "Eukaryotic small subunit ribosomal RNA", at positions 1470 to 1796 of the family's 1831-position model. The record is from RNAcentral.